Cavia porcellus (domestic guinea pig) is the source of this 983-nucleotide long non-coding RNA. RefSeq lists it as uncharacterized. Lineage: Eukaryota; Metazoa; Chordata; Mammalia; Rodentia; Caviidae. The record is from RefSeq and is a predicted model, not a curated record. The transcript has 4 exons.
CAUUCAUUACCCACUCAGCAGCCUGGUUCCUGUAAAUUCCACCCAGGACCCUGCUGGCCACAGUUUCCUCCAGCACAUUUGGUCUUCCGGGGUGCCUGCUGUUAUUUAGGGGAGACCAUUUCUGACAUUUGUUUACUAGAAAGCUUCCUGUUGUACCAGACCCAUCAGCCUGCUGGUGUGCACUUGCACGAGACACUAGGACGACCUCCAGACCUUGGAUUGAAUCCUUCGGCCUCUAGCGUUAGACACCCUCUGUUCGCUUCCUCAUCGGACUCUGUGGCCGACCAUCUUGCUCAAUUGCACAGGCUGGAUUCUAAUUUGCGUUAGUCCCAUCUCAGCCUCCCAGAGUUCUGCAAUUAAAGGCCUGUGCUUCCAGGACCAGCAGCAAAACAUCAGAAUGUACCACCGUCUGUGGGAUAACAAUCCAAGGAUCAGUCUGCUGAGGAGAAUCUGGCAGAAGUCUAGAAACUCUGGAUGCAUCUUGGUUUCCUGCAUGGGACUUGUGACUGUGGCUGUGGGAAUGGUUCUCGUUUUACGGGCCCACUCUGCAUCUGUGAGUUUCGCUAUUGGAAUAACAAUUAUAUUUAUAAGCUCAUUUAUAGUCUUCUUUGCCGGUUUGUCGGCCUGGUUUAGAGCUCAGGAAAUGCUACAGAUAAGCCAGGACACAGGUGGCCAGCAGGACGGGACUGAUUCAUUCUGUGUGAUACAGGACAUUCUGGACACAGGCAGCCCCUCCCUGUGAUACAGAGACCUGUGAUAUCAGAAACCCGCUGGAAUGUUGAAGUCUUUAAAGUGUUUGUUUUUGAGCCAGGGUCUUGCUAUGUAGUACAGGCUCGCCUUGAAUUGGCGUAUGUCGCUGCCUGAACUGAUGGUAAUAUUCCUGCUUCAGCCUCCUGAGUGCUGAGAUUACAGGGAUGCACCACUAUGCCUGGCUUAAGUAUUGUUUUUAAGUACAAAUAAAAUUUGCGCAUUUAAAAAACAAA